CUACGGGGGGCAGCAGUGGGGAAUAUUGCACAAUGGAGGAAACUCUGAUGCAGCAACGCCGCGUGGAGGAUGACACUUUUCGGAGCGUAAACUCCUUUUAUAUAGGAAGAAGAUGACGGUACUAUAUGAAUAAGCGCCGGCUAACUCCGCGCCAGCAGCCGCGGUAAUACGGAGGGCGCAAGCGUUACUCGGAAUCACUGGGCGUAAAGGGCGUGUAGGCGGAUUAAAAAGUCAGAAGUGAAAUCCUAUAGCUUAACUAUAGAACUGCUUCUGAAACUCUUAAUCUAGAAUAUGGGAGAGGUAGAUGGAAUUUCUGGUGUAGGGGUAACAUCCGUAGAGAUCAGAAGGAAUACCGAUUGCGAAGGCGAUCUACUAGAACAUUAUUGACGCUGAGACGCGAAAGCGUGGGGAGCAAACAGGAUUAGAUACCCGAGUAGUC
This 439-nucleotide ribosomal RNA is filed under the name uncultured bacterium. RNAcentral describes it as "partial 16S ribosomal RNA". It matches the Rfam family "Bacterial small subunit ribosomal RNA", at positions 339 to 795 of the family's 1533-position model. The record is from RNAcentral.